GAAAUGCGAUAAGUAAUGUGAAUUGCAGAAUUCAGUGAAUCAUCGAAUCUUUGAACGCAUCUUGCGCUCCUUGGUAUUCCUUGGAGCAUGCCUGUUUGAGUAUCAUGAAAUCUUCAAAGUAAAUCUUUUGUUAACUCAAUUGGUUUCUACUUUGGUAUUGGAGGUCUUUGCAGCUUCACACCUGCUCCUCUUUGUUCAUUAGCUGGAUCUCAGUGUUAUGCUUGGUUCCACUCGUCGUGAUAAGUUAUCUAUCGCUGAGGACACUGUAAAAGGUGGCCAAGGUAAAUGCAGAUGAACCGCUUCUAAUAGUCCAUUGACUUGGACAAUACUUUUAUGAUCUGAUCUCAAAUCAGGUAGGACUACCCGCUGAACUUAAGC
Molecule: unclassified non-coding RNA, 378 nt
Filed under: plant metagenome
Description: partial contains 5.8S ribosomal RNA, internal transcribed spacer 2, and large subunit ribosomal RNA
Rfam family: 5.8S ribosomal RNA (bases 1-105)
Source: RNAcentral